UCAGGGAUCUUGCGCAAUGGACGAAAGUCUGACGCAGCGACGCCGCGUGGAGGAUGACGCAUUUCGGUGUGUAAACUCCUUUUAUUGGGGAAGAAACAAGACGGUACCCAAUGAAUAAGCCCCGGCUAACUACGUGCCAGCAGCCGCGGUAAUACGUAGGGGGCGAGCGUUGUCCGGAGUUACUGGGCGUAAAGAGCGCGUAGGUGGUUCUUCAAGUCGGUUGUGAAAACUGCAGGGCUUAACCCGCAGCGUGCAUCCGAUACUGGAGAACUUGAGGGAUGGAGAGGGAAGUAGAAUUUCUGGUGUAGCGGUGAAAUGCGUUGAUAUCAGAAGGAAUACCCGUGGCGAAGGCGGCUUCCUGGUCAUCUCCUGACACUGAGGCGCGAAAGCUGGGGGAGCGAACGGA
Molecule: ribosomal RNA, 406 nt
Filed under: uncultured bacterium
Lineage: Bacteria
Description: bacterial SSU rRNA
Rfam family: Bacterial small subunit ribosomal RNA
Source: RNAcentral